CCAGGCCUGCCUUGCCCUGGGCCAGGUGAGAAGCCAGUGGUGAUGCAUGAGUGCCCCCUGCUGGUGAUGUUCUGCACUGUCCACUGGGACUCCUACCCCGGAUCCAGCCAGGGGGCUGGGGAGGAAGAUGGUGCACCCUGGACAACCCUCAGAGGAGGAGAAAAUCACCGGCUCCCAAUUUGGGCAGCGAAUCAGAAGCAGCAUGGAUUCACUGCCUUUUGAAAUAGUGAAACUACCGUCAUUGGAGAAAGGCGAACUGUGGUUAGGCGACCUGGGAUUCCUCCGCUGGGAGAGAGGUUGAACUAGGUGAACUUGAAGGUUUCAUGCAAGGAAAGAGAAGUUAGCUGAUAUUUAUGUAGACCAGCUUCUAGAUUGACACUAAGUACAAAGCUAAUGUGUAUUUACUAUGGCUUUAAUCUAUACUGAUUAAGAAUGUCUCAUUUAUUCACCUGCACCUCAUGUUUUACUUGGCAUGUAUCUUUAUUAUAGUUAAUAUAAAUAUCACAUUAGCUGCUUACAGAACAUAUAGAAUUUGCUGUCCUGAGUUUAUUUACAAGUUAGUACCUCAUUUAUGAGACUUUUUACCCCUUGAGAACAUCCGCCUUCUUCUUGAAAACUGUGACUGGUUCAUUAUAAACAUAUAUUCGUAUAAUGGAGUUAAUGGGGUUAUCAUCUGUUUAUCUCUUUUAAUUAGGCCCUGAUUUGCCCAAACAAUUUCAGUUACUUUCUUGAUUACAGUUGGAGGAGCAUGUGGUUUGGUGUGGGCUUGGUAAAGAGCUGCUGUCUGCUUCUCUAAAUCCACGUAUAGUAUCAUAUGUUCAGGCUGAGUUAAUAUUUGAUAUGUGAGUUGUUCCCUUAUCUUGUUAGAUACUCUUGAUAAAAGAAUUCCCACUCAUGAAUUUUCAUGGAUAUACCUCUG
Molecule: long non-coding RNA, 919 nt
Filed under: Homo sapiens (human)
Lineage: Eukaryota; Metazoa; Chordata; Mammalia; Primates; Hominidae
Description: HSALNT0277677
Source: RNAcentral